AGCGGCAGGCCUAACACAUGCAAGUCGAACGAGAAAGGGCUUCGGCCCCGGUACAGUGGCGCACGGGUGAGUAACACGUAGGUAACCUGCCCUUGAGUGGUGGAUAACAUUCCGAAAAGGAGUGCUAAUACAGCAUAAGACCACGGUUCCAUCAAGGAACAGGGGUCAAAGCGGGCCUCUUCAUGAAAGCUCGCGCUUGGGGAUGGGCCUGCGGCGCAUCAGCUAGUUGGUGAGGUAAUGGCUCACCAAGGCUAAGACGCGUAGCUGGUCUGAGGGGAUGAUCAGCCACACUGGAACUGAGACACGGUCCAGACUCCUACGGGAGGCAGCAGUGGGGAAUUUUGCGCAAUGGGCGAAAGCCUGACGCAGCGACGCCGCGUGGGUGAUGAAGGCCCUCGGGUUGUAAAGCCCUGUGGGGAGGGAUGAAUAAGGUAUGGCUAAUACCUAUACUGAUGACAGUACCUCCUUAGCAAGCACCGGCUAACUCUGUG
RNAcentral lists this ribosomal RNA (491 nucleotides) under uncultured bacterium. RNAcentral's name for it is "bacterial SSU rRNA". It matches the Rfam family "Bacterial small subunit ribosomal RNA", at positions 39 to 507 of the family's 1533-position model. The record is from RNAcentral.